GGGAGCAGGAGUGAGGACGUGUGUUCAUGUACACUGAGCCGGUUGAAUCUUGUCAAAAGCUGUUAUUUUACUUUAUAUUGUGGGCUCAUCGCUGUACCUGGUGGUGCAGAACAACUUUGCACCUCUAACGGUCUGCUGCGUACUUUACACUGUCUGCAGAUGAAGAAUCCGGCUCAUGGAAAGGAAUGAAAUAUAUUAAUAUAGCUGGAGGUGGAGCUACAGAGACAUCCAGAGGAUCAACACGGGAACUGCAGGCUGAUCGACUCCACCCGUCUGCUACUCAAAGGAGGUGAAAACAAACUCACCAGUGAAGAAUGAUUUGCUCGUAAUGAUUUUUCGUGGCGGGAGGCGGGAGGAAACUCUUUCAGUUUGCAGCGAGCCGACGGCGGAGUCCACAGCGUUCCUCGGCUCAGCAGAGUAUCGCACAGACAUCAUGUUAAACGGGCGUCUCUUAGCCUCGGCUCUCUCCUCCGAGUCGAAAUACCAAACUGUGACGGCGUACCUGAAACAGAAACCACAACAACGGUGUUUACUGCAACUCUUGGCUUAAGUUGUCUCUCUGCAGGGACAGGAUGUGAUUUAUUAGUGUCUUUACAUUUCUAUAUUCAUGGAGGAGAGAAAUGUAAAUAUAAGAUCCUGUUUGUUCUAGAAAUUAAUUAUUUCGUGUAAUUGCACGUUUCCACCAGCAGGUGGUGCCAUUUAUCUGUGUUCUGUUCUCAGUGACACUUUACUGAUGAUAAAAUAUAUACUGAAUAUUUUGAAAGCAACUUUGUUUUUUAAAUACUUUUUACAUUAUCAUGUUUCUUUUACUUCUGAAUCUGAAUGUUGUGGGUUUUUUUACUGAAAUAUUGGUAAAAACAUUUGAUAUUUAAAUGUCUUAUAUGCAGCCUAAUGCACAUGUAGACAGAGGGGUGGGUUAGUUUUAUUCAUUCAGAGGGAACUGAAACAGGUUGUGCAGGAUUCAUUAACUUUACAUCAAAAUCUAAACUGAUACCAAAUGAGAAUUUGUCUGAGUGCGAGCUCCUACUCGAACAGCUGUGAGGACCAGUGAUUGAUGAUCUGGUUGGUUACCUGGUAGAGUAGGAGGGCUGCACCUCGUGUGGGUUCCUGCGGUCGGACCAGAAGAAGAGCAGCCGGUCGAACAGCGGCUUGAUGUCGGCCACGAAGGAUUUCCCCUCCGGGAAGAUCCUGAGAACGCCUCCGUGCUCCUGAUUAAAAAAAACAAAACAAAGAUCACAAACGAGGAAGAGAAGCAGACGUGUGGAGAUGAUUGUUAAACAUUCAAAUCUUUUGAAAGGCUGAUCAAAUGUAUCUCUUGUUAUUUUACUUGUUCCCACAAUAUCAUAAAUCAUAUAUGAGUAAAUUCAAUUAAAUUCUGAUCUCUGAAGUACAA
Molecule: long non-coding RNA, 1393 nt
Organism: Cottoperca gobio
Lineage: Eukaryota; Metazoa; Chordata; Actinopteri; Perciformes; Bovichtidae
Exons: 6
Source: RefSeq, a predicted model, not a curated record